Molecule: unclassified non-coding RNA, 3602 nt
Filed under: Polistes dominula (European paper wasp)
Lineage: Eukaryota; Metazoa; Arthropoda; Insecta; Hymenoptera; Vespidae
Description: fanconi-associated nuclease 1-like, transcript variant X1
Source: RNAcentral
ACUAAAUAGUAAAUAACUAGUCUAGAGCAAAUAGUUUUACAUAAGAAUUAGAAUUAUUUGGAAGUUCAAUUGCAUAGAUUUCAAAACUUCCUUGUAUUUUUUGGUAAAUGUUUUGUUCGAUAUACAAGAUAAUAGAAACAAUUGUUUAUAAUAAAUAAAAGGAAAAAUGUAAAUAAUAAUUUCCUAUCAUCGAUGAAAUUGGUACUUCGACUAUUGCAUUGGCUUAGCAAUUUAUUUUACCUUUCCAACUAAUUAAUGAUAACAUUUCUUCAUUUAUCUUAAGUUAGUGACGUAUUUAAAAGAUAAAUAUGUUACAUAUUUCCGUUCAUAGAAACUAUGUUAUCUAUACGCACACUUACUCUUAUCUCAAAAAAUUGUUUAAAUGUUAUUUAUAAUAUGAGUAAUGAUUUACAUCACAUCAUACGUGAAUCAUUAAAUAUCUCGUGUCAUUAAAGAUGUCAUAUCAAACAAGUCUUGAUCAAUUUUUUCCCCAAAAAAUUAAACAUAAUCGUAACGUUAAAUCAAAAGAUCUCGUCACCUUGAAGGAACUAAAAAGACUAAAAAAGCCAUCUACAAAAACUAUAUCACGAACAAAAUCAAGACUAAGUACGGAAAGAAAGCAAUCUUCAGAGAUGAAUAAAUCAUCAUUUAGUAUUAAUGAUUCGAUAAACAAUGUACAAAUGACAAAUACAGGUACUCAUUUUAUGUUAGGUAUGAAUGAAACUUAUUACACGUCAAAUAAUCUACAAGAUACUGAAAUAGAUUCAAUGUCGGAUUGCUCUAUAAUAUAUGAAAGAAUAAAUACAUCGAAUAAUACAAUAUCAAUUGACAUGGAAAAAGAAAUGGUGUAUGGAAAUCAUGCGAUAAAAGAUUCUGAAAGAUCUUGCGUCGAUAAUCAGUUGCAAGAACAUGAGGAAGAAGUAUCAUUGUGUUGCACCAAUAUUGAUUUUAUAGAAGAAGUAAAUUUAUCAAAAAAAGAAAGUAAUGAAAGUACUUCAAUAAAAGAAGCAUCGGAAAGGAUGGAUAUUGAAUAUUAUGAUGUAAAUAAUGGAAAAAGCGACCUUUUUUCGAUCUGUAGUAGUCCUAUCAAAAGUUUACCUUCUCCUUCUAAGCAAAGAAAUUUAACUUUUACUCCAAAAAAAAGUUCAACUAAAGAAGUUUCAUCACCAAAUUCUAAAAGUCCAAAGAAGCUAAAUCUUUAUCUUCGACAAAUAGUAAAUAAGGAGCUUACUCGUACUGCGAUAGAAAAUAUGAAUCUUAUAAAAGAAGGCGCUAUUAUAGGAAAUAAUUUUAAUCUUCAAAAAAUAUAUGCUAGCAGUACAUUUACAUUUAGAUAUAAUAGCAUUGAUACAAGAGUAUCUGAAAAAUACGAAUACAAUGAUGUGACCAUACCAACUGAAACUUAUGCAGCACAUUUAUUCAUGAUAGUAGUGAAUGUUUUUUCAAAUCCUAUAAAUUGUGGUUACUUUGAUAAGGAAGAGACAGAUUUUAUUUUUUCUAUGCUUACCCUUUCCAUAGAAGCACAAAUAUUAUUUGCGCGUAUUUUAAAAAGAAAAUAUUCUUGGCACAGAGUGGAACAUUUAAAAUAUCAAGAUUUAAUCAAAGAUUUUAUAUCCACUUGUAAAGAGCUCGUGCUAAAGUCAUUUUUUAUAUCCGAUAUAAAAAACGAAGAUUUAUCUGUUUCCUUAAUGAUGCUUCAAGCUGAUGAAAUUGGUGCAAUUUGUAAGGAUUUUAAAUUAAAAAAUGUUAAUAAUAAGAAAAAAUCAAUAGAGAAAUUAUUGGAAAUAGCAACCAAGAAACCUCUCUUUCCUGGCAUGAAAACUUCAGGUGAAAAAUUAAAGUUUUUAGUGUCAAAUAAGUUGGGAUAUUGUAUACGUUUGUGUCAAAAGACAAUAUAUAUUUUUGAUAAGAUAUUAACAUUAUUCAAACCUGAUCAAAAACCUGAAGAAACUUUAUCGGAUACAUUUAAUAUGUUAUUGAACAUCGAACUUGGGAAAAUAUGUUAUCCUACAUAUUCGGAUAAAAGAUAUCCUAUUUUUAGCGAUAAUAACCAUUUAAUUCAAUAUAUCGAAGCAAAACACGAAUUGUCUAAUAUAAUAAAUGCCAUUGAAAAAAAAGAAUGGGAAAGUGUAAGAAAAAUUGGAAAGUUAGCUUACGAUCGAUGGCUAAUUAUUAUGAAAAGUGAAUGCGCAAGCUUAGAAGACUGCGAGCUCCCUUCGCAUUUAUUUCAAUUUAGACCAAGUUAUUUGUGGCUAAAAAUAUUAUCUAAAAGUAUAAAUUCAUUUAAGAAAAACAAAGACACGUUACCAUUUGCUACGGAAAUAUUGAAUACAUUAAUAAGUCAAAAUAGUUAUAUGCAAAGAAAAAAAGAAAGCUGGUAUGCUGAAUUAGCGUUAAUUGAAAUGUAUCAUAAUAAAGAUUUAGAAGCAAGUGCAAAAAUAACAUUAGAGUCAUUGAAAAUUGAGACUAUUUCUGAAGUUGGUAUCGCAGGACUUAUAGAAAGAGCAGAAAUACUUGUUAAAAGAAAAACUGGCAUUAGUAAAACUACAUUGAUGGAUAUUAAAACCACAUUACAAUCCAUAAAAAGCAAAUUUCCAAGUCCAAUGUUAUGUACAACGACAGUUGAAGCUGCUUUAAUGAAAGAACUACCUGGAAUGAAUAAGAGGAAAAGCAAGUGGUGCAUCAAUAAUAAUACAGAUAAUAAAUUGUAUAGUUCGGUAGAAGAUGUUGCAUUAAAUUUUUAUUAUAAUCAAGGUUUUAAUGAUGGAGUGCAUUGUGAAGGUGCUCUACCAGUCACUCUAUUUUAUGCAUUAUUUUGGGAAGAACUUUUUAAUAUUGACAUACCUGGAACUUUUAUGUCACUGUACCAAAUAGCUCCCCUAGAUUUAUUUACUAAAGAUUUUUACAAAAAUAGAAAAGAAAGAAUCGAUAUGAAAUUCAACUUGUUACGUAGUUUUGAUCGAGAAUCUUUUAGUGGAUUAGUAGAACACAACUUUCUACUGUACAGUCGUUUUGAAUCUAUGAUGCAUGUUAAUAUGUUCACGAAUAAUAUUAAAGAAAUAGUAUAUUGCUUAGGGCCUGAAUGUGUUUUAAAAAUUUGUGAACGACUUAUUUCUAAUUAUAUUUUAUGGAAAGCUGGCUUUCCUGAUUUAAUCGUGUGGAAUUUAAAUGAUAAAAGUUGCAAAAUUAUUGAGGUGAAAGGACCUAAUGAUAAACUUUCAGUGAAACAAACAUUGUGGUUACAAUAUUUACAACAAAUAGGAGUAGACAUAGAAGUUUGUUAUGUAAAAGAUAAUGGACAUGGUAAAAUUAGAACGUAAUAGAAACGCUCAUAAUUAUAAGAAGAAAUGUGAUAAACACGUUGACUGCUGCGCGCGUUUACAGUGAAAUCCCCUUCAGGCCACGCGUACCGCUGUACGAAGCGUAUUCUGCUGGGGUUGACUGAAAAUACAACAAAUCCUUGUCUUCGUCGGAGUCAGCAUAAUAUCGCCGUUCGGAAAAAUGAUUCCGGAGGAAGCAUUAGACGCCUAUGCAAACAAUGUUAUGCAGAUAAAAGUGGUCGAAUGGGCCGAUCAAAGACACGAGAGAAUUUAAAGAAAACA